RNAcentral lists this transfer RNA (66 nucleotides) under Isotomurus maculatus. RNAcentral's name for it is "tRNA-Ile". The record is from RNAcentral. Lineage: Eukaryota; Metazoa; Arthropoda; Collembola; Entomobryomorpha; Isotomidae.
GAUAAUGUGCCUGACCUAAAAGGGCUAUUUUGAUAGAAUAGAGCAUGUAAAAUUUUACUGUUAUCU